This 67-nucleotide transfer RNA is filed under the name Hordeum vulgare. RNAcentral describes it as "tRNA-OTHER". The record is from RNAcentral. Lineage: Eukaryota; Viridiplantae; Streptophyta; Magnoliopsida; Poales; Poaceae.
GCCUAGCCUAGUGGUCAACGCACUGCUCUCUUGCUGCAGAGACCUGGGUUCGACUCCAGUGUCGGCC